AAAGAAAGUAGGUAGAAAAUGAAUGUAAUGGUAUUUCUUAAAAACACAACAACAGGGGCUGGCCUGGUGGCAUAGUGGUUAAAUUUGCAUGCUCUGCUUUGGCGGCAUGGAGUUCGCUAGUUUGAAUCCUGGGCACAGACCUAUGCACUGCCCACCAGGCCAUGCUGUGCUGGCAUCUCACAUACAAAAUGGAGGAAGAUUGGCACAGAUGUUAGCUCAGGGACAACUUUCCUCACCAAAAAAAAAAAAAAAAAAAACAAAGAAAACAGAAACCACAAGAACAGCAUCAACUAUAACCUAUCUCUUUAGAUGCUCUGGUUUUAGAUCAUGGUCUCCUAUGUGGUCUUCAUGCUGGGGGGAGAGAAGCUUCACUUGGAGAGGGAAGAGAAGAAAUUACGAAGAUCAGGACGUCAUAUUCCAUCUGAACAAUUUACAUAUCAGGGGUUGAUUUGGGACCAUAUGAGGAUAUUUAAAAAGAAAUGAACCUUGGAACAAAGUUUUUGAGAAGAGUCUGAAGAUUCUGAUGUGGCAGAGGGAAAUGAGAGAAUUGAGGCUGUUUUGACAAAUUUGUGAGUAAGAAAAUAAGUCACUCAAAUAACACAAAAAAAAGAGAGAAAACAGAAGAUUUUGAACAAGGGCUCCUGCACCAGGAAGUCAAGGGAGUCCAGGAUCACAAGCAAGCCAGUCUCUGCAACUGUCUCCAGUAGAAAGAAGAAUGAAGAGGAUGGAGAAGUUCGGCCAUGACAACACGUACUGCUGAUCUUCAAUCGGAGAUCUGGGUGCUGACUUGAGAUUAAGAGGAACGCACAUGCUGGUUCUGAAAAAGAACGGCCGGUAAAGGCUGGAUCUAAUAAUUCAGGUGAUGAAAUGUAUCAUUCAGCUUUGUUAAACGGACUCAUAUACAGUCAUGUGUUGCUUAACGAUG
RNAcentral lists this long non-coding RNA (925 nucleotides) under Equus caballus (horse). Its description in RNAcentral is "lncRNA (ENSECAG00000043672.2)". Lineage: Eukaryota; Metazoa; Chordata; Mammalia; Perissodactyla; Equidae. The record is from RNAcentral.